GGGGGCGCACUGGUUUCGACUCAUCGUUAGAAGCACAGGCGGCAUGUCGAGGAUGGUUCCGUUGGCCUCGUAAAAAACCGGACCAAAACAAAUAAACGCAGAUCACGAAGAUCUCGCUCUCGCGGCUUAAUUGACCGUGACGUUUUCGCAGCGACGCCUGCUAGCGGCGGAAACGUGGACAGCAGGCUGGCGAAUCGGCGGAGCGACCGCGACCGGUUCGUGAAUCGAAAAUUCGCGGACGCUCGGGAGUUGGCAGUGUGCCGGCGCAACGUCAGCUCCCUAAAUUAAGCACCGGCUAAACAUGUAGAAGCUUGCGUCGAAGGCGACGAGGACAGGGGUUCAACUCCCCUCGCCUCCAGAA
This 361-nucleotide transfer-messenger RNA is filed under the name Chthoniobacterales. Its description in RNAcentral is "AV40 sp003219495 Standard tmRNA". It matches the Rfam family "transfer-messenger RNA". From Rfam's summary of the family: Bacterial tmRNA, also known as 10Sa RNA or SsrA, is named for its dual tRNA and mRNA-like properties. Its role is to liberate the mRNA from a stalled ribosome. To accomplish this part of the tmRNA is used as a reading frame that ends in a translation stop signal. The record is from RNAcentral. Lineage: Bacteria; Pseudomonadati; Verrucomicrobiota; Spartobacteria. RNAcentral also lists the same sequence under 1 other name.